RNAcentral lists this ribosomal RNA (473 nucleotides) under uncultured bacterium. RNAcentral's name for it is "bacterial SSU rRNA". It matches the Rfam family "Bacterial small subunit ribosomal RNA", at positions 328 to 793 of the family's 1533-position model. The record is from RNAcentral.
CUCCGUGACUCCUACGGGAGGCAGCAGUGGGGAAUAUUGCACAAUGGGGGAAACCCUGAUGCAGCCAUGCCGCGUGUGUGAAGAAGGCCUUCGGGUUGUAAAGCACUUUCAGUAGGGAGGAAGGUAGUGUAGUUAACACCUGCACUAUUUGACGUUACCUACAGAAGAAGCACCGGCUAACUCCGUGCCAGCAGCCGCGGUAAUACGGAGGGUGCGAGCGUUAAUCGGAAUUACUGGGCGUAAAGCGCAUGCAGGCGGCCUGUUAAGUCAGAUGUGAAAGCCCCGGGGCUUAACCUCGGAAUUGCAUUUGAAACUGGCAGGCUAGAGUCUUGUAGAGGGGGUAGAAUUUCAGGUGUAGCGGUGAAAUGCGUAGAGAUCUGAAGGAAUACCAGUGGCGAAGGCGGCCCCCUGGACAAAGACUGACGCUCAGAUGCGAAAGCGUGGGGAGCAAACAGGAUUAGAUACCCUGGUAG